AAUUGCUUCUUUGAACUCAUCUUUGGUAUCAAAUCUGGCUCCUAACACCCACUUAAAAUUAGUCAUCUUUUUAGGCAUGACAAAUGGUGGAUAAUGCUUUUUGUUGCUAUCAUCUGAAUCAUCACCAUCAUCCUCUAAAAGGACUUGAUUGAAACGAUUCAAAAACUAAAAGGACUUGUUUGAGACUUUUGAAACUUAAAGGAC
Molecule: long non-coding RNA, 204 nt
Filed under: Medicago truncatula (barrel medic)
Lineage: Eukaryota; Viridiplantae; Streptophyta; Magnoliopsida; Fabales; Fabaceae
Description: long non-coding RNA (MTRU_LNC001566)
Source: RNAcentral